This 359-nucleotide unclassified non-coding RNA is filed under the name Hevea brasiliensis (rubber tree). Lineage: Eukaryota; Viridiplantae; Streptophyta; Magnoliopsida; Malpighiales; Euphorbiaceae. The record is from RNAcentral.
AGCAGCUAAAGAGUGAGGAUCAAAGUACAACCAUUAACAUAUAUGUUUUUUACAUAUGGGAUUGGCCUUUUUUCUAAUUUCUAGAUUUCCCAGAUAGCUGAAGUUUAUAUCUGGUUAGAUUUUUGCUAGUUAAUAAAUGAAUCCAUAUAAUGACAGGUGUGCUUUACCUGGUAAAUGUAUGACAAGUCGCUUGGUCACAUAAAAACUUCAUUCUGGAGGAAGUAUUUUUUUUUAUUAUGUGUGUAUGACAUUAGGUUGCAUUUGACAUUUUCAUCCAUUUUUCUCUCUUUAAGGGGUAUUUCAUUCAACUGUUGGAAUAACUAUGAACUGUUCAACCCAUUAGGUAGACCAAAAAGUGG